This 466-nucleotide ribosomal RNA is filed under the name uncultured bacterium. RNAcentral describes it as "partial 16S ribosomal RNA". It matches the Rfam family "Bacterial small subunit ribosomal RNA", at positions 28 to 507 of the family's 1533-position model. The record is from RNAcentral.
GACGAACGCUGGCGGUGUGCUUAACACAUGCAAGUCGAACGGUAAGGCCCUUUCGGGGGUACACGAGUGGCGAACGGGUGGGUAACACGUGAGUAACCUGCCCUCAUCUCUGGGAUAACAGUCGGAAACGGUUGCUAAUACUGGAUAUGAGCUUGCAAGGCAUCUUGUGGGUUGGAAAGAUUUUUUUGGUUGGGGAUGGACUCGCGGCCUAUCAGCUUGUUGGUGAGGUAGUGGCUCACCAAGGCUUCGACGGGUAGCCGGCCUGAGAGGGCGACCGGCCACAUUGGGACUGAGAUACGGCCCAAACUCCUACGGGAGGCAGCAGUGGGGAAUAUUGCACAAUGGACGGAAGUCUGAUGCAGCAACGCCGCGUGCGGGAUGACGGCCUUCGGGUUGUAAACCGCUUUCAAUUGUGACGAAGCUUUUUGUGACGGUAGCAGUGGAAGAAGCACCGGCUAACUACGUG